GACGAACGCUGGCGGCGUGCCUAAUACAUGCAAGUCGAGCGGACUUGAUGGAGUGCUUGCACUCCUGAGAGUUAGCGGCGGACGGGUGAGUAACACGUAGGUAACCUGCCCAUAAGACUGGGAUAACAUUCGGAAACGAAUGCUAAUACCGGAUACGCAAGUCUCUCGCAUGAGAGAGUUAGGAAAGGCGGAGCAAUCUGUCACUUAUGGAUGGACCUGCGGUGCAUUAGCUAGUUGGUGAGGUAACGGCUCACCAAGGCGACGAUGCAUAGCCGACCUGAGAGGGUGAUCGGCCACACUGGGACUGAGACACGGCCCAGACUCCUACGGGUGGCAG
This 337-nucleotide ribosomal RNA is filed under the name uncultured Bacillota bacterium. Its description in RNAcentral is "bacterial SSU rRNA". It matches the Rfam family "Bacterial small subunit ribosomal RNA", at positions 28 to 351 of the family's 1533-position model. Lineage: Bacteria; Bacillati; Bacillota. The record is from RNAcentral.